This 113-nucleotide ribosomal RNA is filed under the name Propithecus coquereli (Coquerel's sifaka). The record is from RNAcentral. Lineage: Eukaryota; Metazoa; Chordata; Mammalia; Primates; Indriidae.
ACCUAUAGUCCUUCCACCCUGAGUGUGCUUGAUCUGGUCUGAUCUCAGAGCUAAGUAGGAUCGGGUCUGGUUGGUACUUGUAGACUGCCGGUGAAUACUGGGUGCUAUAGACU